Molecule: ribosomal RNA, 497 nt
Filed under: uncultured bacterium
Lineage: Bacteria
Description: partial 16S ribosomal RNA
Rfam family: Bacterial small subunit ribosomal RNA
Source: RNAcentral
GAUGAACGCUGGCGGCGUGCCUAAUACAUGCAAGUCGAGCGAACAGACGAGGAGCUUGCUCCUUUGACGUUAGCGGCGGACGGGUGAGUAACACGUGGAUAACCUACCUAUAAGACUGGGAUGACUUCGGGAAACCGGAGCUAAUACCGGAUAACAUGUUGAACCGCAUGGUUCAACAGUGAAAGACGGUCUUGCUGUCACUUAUAGAUGGAUCCGCGCCGCAUUAGCUAGUUGGUAAGGUAACGGCUUACCAAGGCAACGAUGCGUAGCCGACCUGAGAGGGUGAUCGGCCACACUGGAACUGAGACACGGUCCAGACUCCUACGGGAGGCAGCAGUAGGGAAUCUUCCGCAAUGGGCGAAAGCCUGACGGAGCAACGCCGCGUGAGUGAAGAAGGUCUUCGGAUCGUAAAACUCUGUUAUUAGGGAAGAACAAAUGUGUAAGUAACUAUGCACGUCUUGACGGUACCUAAUCAGAAAGCCACGGCUAACUACGUG